This 490-nucleotide ribosomal RNA is filed under the name uncultured bacterium. RNAcentral's name for it is "partial 16S ribosomal RNA". It matches the Rfam family "Bacterial small subunit ribosomal RNA", at positions 30 to 507 of the family's 1533-position model. The record is from RNAcentral.
AUUGAACGCUGGCGGCAGGCCUAACACAUGCAAGUCGAACGGUAACAGGAAACAGCUUGCUGUUUCGCUGACGAGUGGCGGACGGGUGAGUAAUGUCUGGGAAACUGCCUGAUGGAGGGGGAUAACUACUGGAAACGGUAGCUAAUACCGCAUAACGUCGCAAGACCAAAGAGGGGGACCCUCGGGCCUCUUGCCAUCGGAUGUGCCCAGAUGGGAUUAGCUUGUUGGUGGGGUAACGGCUCACCAAGGCGACGAUCCCUAGCUGGUCUGAGAGGAUGACCAGCCACACUGGAACUGAGACACGGUCCAGACUCCUACGGGAGGCAGCAGUGGGGAAUAUUGCACAAUGGGCGCAAGCCUGAUGCAGCCAUGCCGCGUGUAUGAAGAAGGCCUUCGGGUUGUAAAGUACCUUCAGCGGGGAGGAAGGGAGUAAAGUUAAUACCUUUGCUCAUUGACGUUACCCGCAGAAGAAGCACCGGCUAACUCCGUG